Molecule: ribosomal RNA, 48 nt
Filed under: Vanessa cardui
Lineage: Eukaryota; Metazoa; Arthropoda; Insecta; Lepidoptera; Nymphalidae
Description: partial 5.8S ribosomal RNA
Source: RNAcentral
GCUUCCUACACUCGGGCCGGCUGUAUAAAAAUAUAAAUCACACUGUUC